RNAcentral lists this unclassified non-coding RNA (379 nucleotides) under uncultured Gemmatimonadota bacterium. RNAcentral describes it as "uncultured Gemmatimonadetes bacterium contains 16S-23S intergenic spacer region". The record is from RNAcentral. Lineage: Bacteria; Pseudomonadati; Gemmatimonadota.
UCCGAGUUACCCCGGCAGUCUCCUAUGAGUCCCCAACUUUACUUGCUGGCAACAUAGGACGAAGGUUGCGCUCGUUGCGGGACUUAACCCAACAUUUCACGACACGAGCUGACGACAGCCAUGCAGCACCUGUGCUGGUGUUCCGAAGAAGGGCCCCGGUUUCUUGAGGCUUUCACCAGCAUGUCAAACCUAGGUAAGGUUCUUCGCGUUGCUUCGAAUUAAACCACAUGCUCCACCGCUUGUGCGGGCCCCCGUCAAUUCCUUUGAGUUUCAGCCUUGCGGCCGUACUUCCCAGGCGGGGCACUUAUCGCGUUAGCUGCGGCACCGAAGGGGUCGCUCCCCCCGGCACCUAGUGCCCAUCGUUUACGGCGUGGACUAC